RNAcentral lists this ribosomal RNA (292 nucleotides) under uncultured bacterium. RNAcentral describes it as "partial 16S ribosomal RNA". It matches the Rfam family "Bacterial small subunit ribosomal RNA", at positions 505 to 796 of the family's 1533-position model. The record is from RNAcentral.
GUGCCAGCAGCCGCGGUAAUACGAAGGGUGCAAGCGUUGUUCGGAAUCAUUGGGCGUAAAGCGCGCGCAGGCGGAUCAGUAAGUCAGGUGUGAAAUCUCGAAGCUCAACUUCGAAACUGCGCCUGAAACUACUAGUCUAGAAUGUCGGAGGGGGCAGGGGAAUUUCACGUGUAGGGGUAAAAUCCGUAGAGAUGUGAAGGAACACCGGAGGCGAAGGCGCCUGCCUGGACGACUAUUGACGCUGAGGCGCGAAAGCGUGGGGAGCAAACAGGAUUAGAUACCCUUGUAGUCC